RNAcentral lists this ribosomal RNA (399 nucleotides) under uncultured bacterium. Its description in RNAcentral is "partial 16S ribosomal RNA". It matches the Rfam family "Bacterial small subunit ribosomal RNA", at positions 360 to 776 of the family's 1533-position model. The record is from RNAcentral.
AAUCUUCCGCAAUGGGCUAAAGCCUGACGGAGCAACGCCGCGUGAGUGAAGAAGGUCUGCGGUUCGUAAAGCUCUGUCUCCGGUAACGAAUGAGUCGGUAACCGAGGAGGAAGCCACGGCAAACUACCUGCCAGCAGCCGCGGUACUACGUAGGUGGCGAGCGUUGUCCGGAAUUACUGGGCGUAAAGCGCGCGUAGACGGCUUAGUAAGUCAGAUGUGAAAGACUCGGGCUCAACCUUGGGGCGGCAUCUGAGACUGUUGAGCAUGAGUGCAGGAGAGGCAAGUGGAAUUCCCAGUGUAGCAGUGAACUGCGUAGAUAUUAGGAGGAACACCAGUGGCGAAGGCGGCUUACUGGACUGUAACUGACACUGAGGAUCGAAAGCGUGGGGAGCAAACAGG